GGCGGGAACGCGGAGAAAGUUAUAUGUCUUCAGUGAACUGCCGUUUCCCUCUGCGGAUUCUUCCACAAUACAGUAACAUCACAAAGAAAGCUGCCCCCUUUUUCUGAUUGUUUGUGCCUCCUCUUUAAUACAUGUGACUUGUAUGUGGCAGUGCAAGCGUUGUUCCAUCAGGGAGAGUAGUAGGUACAAAUUAUUGAAACACUGUAGAUUACAUCACCAUUAUGGACCCAGCCAGCGUUAUCUUUGUAUAUAUGUAAAUUGUCCAUGCACAUUUAAGACUUGGUGUGGACUAAAAACACAUGUUUACAAAUGUCAUUCUUCUCAUUUUAAACAGACAGCUGUCAGUUCAGUCACUUUUAGGUGCGAGUUAUGUGACUGCAGUGACCUUACCACAGAGAGAGAUUAUUUUGGACAUAUUGGAUCACAUUUACGAAAUAGUGAGACAGUAACUUGUGUAUUUUCAGGCUGCUCUUUCAAGACAAAUAUCUUUG
This is a long non-coding RNA of Oreochromis aureus, 491 nucleotides long. RefSeq lists it as uncharacterized. The transcript is spliced from 3 exons. Lineage: Eukaryota; Metazoa; Chordata; Actinopteri; Cichliformes; Cichlidae. The record is from RefSeq and is a predicted model, not a curated record.